RNAcentral lists this small RNA (288 nucleotides) under Aurantimonas sp. Leaf443. RNAcentral's name for it is "5' ureB small RNA". It matches the Rfam family "5' ureB small RNA". Lineage: Bacteria; Pseudomonadati; Pseudomonadota; Alphaproteobacteria; Hyphomicrobiales; Aurantimonadaceae. The record is from Rfam by way of RNAcentral.
CCUCGUCGAUCUGCUGGGGGCAGAUGAAAUGGAUGUGGCAGUCGAUGCCGCCGGCGGUGAGGAUCUUGCCCUCGCCCGCGAUGGCCUCGGUGCCGGGGCCGACGACGAUCGUCACGCCCGGCUGCGUGUCGGGAUUGCCGGCCUUGCCGAUGGCGUGGAUGCGCCCGUCGCGAAGGCCGACAUCGGCCUUGUAGAUGCCGGUGUGGUCGACGAUCAGCGCGUUGGUGAUGACCGUGUCGACCGCCCCGUCCGCCCGGCUCGCCUGGCUCUGGCCCAUGCCGUCGCGGA